RNAcentral lists this ribosomal RNA (625 nucleotides) under uncultured bacterium. RNAcentral describes it as "bacterial SSU rRNA". It matches the Rfam family "Bacterial small subunit ribosomal RNA", at positions 338 to 954 of the family's 1533-position model. The record is from RNAcentral.
CCUACGGGAGGCAGCAGUGGGGAAUUUUGGACAAUGGGCGAAAGCCUGAUCCAGCAAUGCCGCGUGAGUGAAGAAGGCCUUCGGGUUGUAAAGCUCUUUUGUCAGGGAAGAAACGGUGAGAGCUAAUAUCUCUUGCUAAUGACGGUACCUGAAGAAUAAGCACCGGCUAACUACGUGCCAGCAGCCGCGGUAAUACGUAGGGUGCAAGCGUUAAUCGGAAUUACUGGGCGUAAAGCGUGCGCAGGCGGUUUUGUAAGUCUGAUGUGAAAUCCCCGGGCUCAACCUGGGAAUUGCAUUGGAGACUGCAAGGCUAGAAUCUGGCAGAGGGGGGUAGAAUUCCACGUGUAGCAGUGAAAUGCGUAGAUAUGUGGAGGAACACCGAUGGCGAAGGCAGCCCCCUGGGUCAAGAUUGACGCUCAUGCACGAAAGCGUGGGGAGCAAACAGGAUUAGAUACCCUGGUAGUCCACGCCCUAAACGAUGUCUACUAGUUGUCGGGUCUUAAUUGACUUGGUAACGCAGCUAACGCGUGAAGUAGACCGCCUGGGGAGUUACGGCGCAAGAUUAAAACCGNGAAAAGGAAUUGGACGGCGUGAGAGAGACGACGGACGACGACGAGGGAGGAGG